GAGUGUGAAUAGAAUGGUCUGGAAAGGCCAACCAUAGUGGGUGACAGUCCCGUAUGCGAAAAUGAUCAAUCAGGACUCGAGUAGGGCGGAACACGUGAAAUUCUGUCUGAACAUGGGGGGACCACCCUCCAAGCCUAAAUACUCGUAUGUGACCGAUAGUGAACAAGUACCGUGAGGGAAAGGUGAAAAGCACCCCGAUUAGGGGAGUGAAAUAGUACCUGAAACCGAAUGCUUACAAGCAGUGGGAGCCCCCUUGUGGGGUGACCGCGUACCUCUUGCAUAAUGGGUCAGUGACUUAAUCUAUCUAGCAAGCUUAAGCCGUUAGGUGUAGGCG
Molecule: ribosomal RNA, 334 nt
Filed under: Fragilariopsis kerguelensis
Lineage: Eukaryota; Bacillariophyta; Bacillariophyceae; Bacillariales; Bacillariaceae
Description: partial Bacterial large subunit ribosomal RNA
Rfam family: Bacterial large subunit ribosomal RNA
Source: RNAcentral